Molecule: small nuclear RNA, 98 nt
Filed under: Nannospalax galili (Upper Galilee mountains blind mole rat)
Lineage: Eukaryota; Metazoa; Chordata; Mammalia; Rodentia; Spalacidae
Source: RNAcentral
CUUUUGGCAAAACAUAUAUUAAAAUUGGAACUAUACAGAGAUGAGCAUGGCCACUGCACAAGGAUGACACACAAAUUCAUGAACCGUUCCAUAUUUUU